Molecule: ribosomal RNA, 492 nt
Filed under: uncultured bacterium
Lineage: Bacteria
Description: partial 16S ribosomal RNA
Rfam family: Bacterial small subunit ribosomal RNA
Source: RNAcentral
AGUGAACGCUGGCGGUAGGCCUAACACAUGCAAGUCGAACGGCAGCACAGUAAGAGCUUGCUCUUACGGGUGGCGAGUGGCGGACGGGUGAGGAAUACAUCGGAAUCUACUUUUUCGUGGGGGAUAACGUAGGGAAACUUACGCUAAUACCGCAUACGACCUACGGGUGAAAGCAGGGGAUCUUCGGACCUUGCGCGAUUGAAUGAGCCGAUGUCGGAUUAGCUAGUUGGCGGGGUAAAGGCCCCCCAAGGCGACGAUCCGUAGCUGGUCUGAGAGGAUGAUCAGCCACACUGGAACUGAGACACGGUCCAGACUCCUACGGGAGGCAGCAGUGGGGAAUAUUGGACAAUGGGCGCAAGCCUGAUCCAGCCAUACCGCGUGGGUGAAGAAGGCCUUCGGGUUGAAAAGCCCUUUUGUUGGGAAAGAAAAGCAGCAGGUUAAUACCCCGCUGUUCUGACGGUACCCAAAGAAUAAGCACCGGCUAACUUCGUG